Non-coding RNA from Electrophorus electricus (electric eel), 223 nucleotides. Lineage: Eukaryota; Metazoa; Chordata; Actinopteri; Gymnotiformes; Gymnotidae. The record is from RefSeq and is a predicted model, not a curated record.
GGUAGGGUGACCUGACCAUAAAGAUCAUCAGGCGGCUGUGUGUCAACAUCCGGAUCUGCUAAAGGAAGGAAACAUCAGCAAUGUAUCUUAUGGUUUGCUGACACUGCUGCUUACAUGGAGGCUGAUACCACAUGCUUUGUGCUGUUCUUUGCAGUCUAAGGACCUGCGCAUUGUUUUGCUAAACAUGUUGUAUCCUAGCUGUUCCCAGGACUGCACUCUUCUG